This 465-nucleotide ribosomal RNA is filed under the name uncultured bacterium. Its description in RNAcentral is "partial 16S ribosomal RNA". It matches the Rfam family "Bacterial small subunit ribosomal RNA", at positions 338 to 795 of the family's 1533-position model. The record is from RNAcentral.
CCUACGGGAGGCAGCAGUGGGGAAUAUUGCGCAAUGGGCGAAAGCCUGACGCAGCGACGCCGCGUGAGGGAUGAAGGUCUUCGGAUCGUAAACCUCUGUUAGCAGGGAAGAACGGUCACUGUGCUAAUCAGCAGUGAAUUGACGGUACCUGCAAAGGAAGCAUCGGAUAACUCCGUGACAGCAGCCGCGGUAAUACGGAGGGUGCGAGCGUGAAUAGGAGUUAUUGGGCGUAAAGCGCUCGUAGGCGGUAUGUCAAGUCAAGGGUGAAAUCCCCGCGCUCAACGUGGGAACUGCCUUUGAAACUGGCAAACUGGAGUGUGUGAGAGGAUAGUGGAAUUCCAGGUGUAGGAGUGAAAUCCGUAGAGAUCAGGAGGAACAUCGGUGGCGAAGGCGACUAUCUGGCACAUAACUGACGCUGAGGAGCGAAAGCGUGGGUAGCAAACAGGAUUAGAUACCCGAGUAGUC